UACGGGGGGGGCAAGCGUUGUUCGGAAUUACUGGGCGUAAAGGGCGCGUAGGCGGCCGAUCAAGUCGGGGGUGAAAGCCUGUGGCUCAACCACAGAAUGGCCUUCGAUACUGUUUGGCUUGAGACCGGAAGAGGUCAGUGGAACUGCGAGUGUAGAGGUGAAAUUCGUAGAUAUUCGCAAGAACACCAGUGGCGAAGGCGGCUGACUGGUCCGGUUCUGACGCUGAGGCGCGAAAGCGUGGGGAGCAAACAGG
This 253-nucleotide ribosomal RNA is filed under the name uncultured bacterium. Its description in RNAcentral is "partial 16S ribosomal RNA". It matches the Rfam family "Bacterial small subunit ribosomal RNA", at positions 524 to 776 of the family's 1533-position model. The record is from RNAcentral.